UUUACCUUUCUGGCUAUUGCGGUGCAAAUCUUUGGAAGUUUCCCCAAAUUAUCACAUUUUGGAGCUGUUGUUCUAUUGAAAUUGAACAAACGAAAUCGUAGAUGGUUAGCAGGGCUUUGGUCCUUAUUUUCUUAUUUUCUUACAUACCAUUUGUCUAGGCCAAAGGUGUGAUUCUUCAGGGUUAAUACUUCUAUAUAUUGUUAGCUCUUGAUUAUGUUUUUCUGGGACAUUUAUAACAAUUUAGCUUCAAAUUUACUUGUAUUUUUUCUGGGGCAUUUUUAAGUGCGUGCGCAAGCUUCAAGUAUGUACAGUGCACACACUUUUGUUUGACAAAUUAUAACCCCAAUCAAGGUCCAAAUCGAAGCAUAUAUGACAUCACAAAUGGAUCUAAACAAAUGACGUCACAAAUGUCCUCCAAGGAAUGGUCAUAUAGAAAAGAAACUUGAAACAGAAUUCGUUGGAAGUAUGUUGUUUUCCUUUCUUGAACUUGUAUUCCGUCAUUUAUUAAUAUUUAUUUACCAUGUCCAUUAACGUACUAUGAGCUAAUUUUACAUAACAUUACAGGGGCCUAAAUGAUUGAGGAGUGAAAUUAGAUCAUGGCCUUUCAUGUUUGAAGGGAUAUAGUAUUACGAUAACUCUCAAAAAUCAAUAUUGUAUAAUGACAGAAGUUAAUAAUCUAAAUCAGCAGGAGCAAGCUUUGGAUGAGUGUAUAUACUAGCGAGAUGUGCGGAAAGCUAAGCGGGUUAAUGGAAGAUGAGAAUGGUUGAAG
Long non-coding RNA from Triticum aestivum (bread wheat), 769 nucleotides. RefSeq lists it as uncharacterized. NCBI's taxonomy places the organism in Eukaryota, Viridiplantae, Streptophyta, Magnoliopsida, Poales, Poaceae. The record is from RefSeq and is a predicted model, not a curated record. The transcript is spliced from 3 exons.